RNAcentral lists this long non-coding RNA (643 nucleotides) under Numida meleagris (helmeted guineafowl). RNAcentral's name for it is "lncRNA (ENSNMEG00000017834.1)". Lineage: Eukaryota; Metazoa; Chordata; Aves; Galliformes; Numididae. The record is from RNAcentral.
UCUUAUGAUAUGCUGUGUAUGUUACUGCCUUGUCAGGUGUAAGUCUGAAAACUGAGUAAAUCAAAAUAUAAAGAUUUUAGUUGUUCAUUUAAGCUGUCAUUGAUUUGUUGGUACUGCCUUAAGAUAUAGCUUUUAUAAUUUUCUUAUUUGCCUAAUACUUUUGUGAUGCUUCCAAGGUAAUUUGGAAUUCAUAUUUAACACUUCCUUUUUGUAGUCAAUGGAUGCAGGUGGUUUUGAAGGACUGCAUUUCAAAGAGAAGCUGGUAAAGAAUCAAUAUCAUUUUAAAUGUCUUUUGAGGUUCUGUGACUUACGGGUUAAGCUUCAUAUUGGACAGUAGCGCAGUAAGUUUGCAGAAAGAAGAUUGGUACGUAACAAGUCUUUCAGGCCUUGUGUACAUUGUAAAUGGAAAGUAUUUUUCUGUCAGUAUAAGAGGAAGACUUUUAUUCCACUAGAAAACGUUGGGGAAGACUUACAGAGAGGAAUUGUAGCACAUCAUCUCUUACAUCAGUUGGAGAAUGAUUUCAGAAGCAGGAUAACAAAGGAGGAGAAUACAGAAACGAGAGAAGAUAUAAGGAGUGUAAGCCUAAAUUUUUCAUUUUUGUAUAUCAAAUUUGAGCAUCUCAGCAGCUGAUGCUUUUCAUCU